RNAcentral lists this ribosomal RNA (440 nucleotides) under uncultured bacterium. RNAcentral describes it as "partial 16S ribosomal RNA". It matches the Rfam family "Bacterial small subunit ribosomal RNA", at positions 338 to 795 of the family's 1533-position model. The record is from RNAcentral.
ACUACGGGAGGCAGCAGUGGGGGAUAUUGCACAAUGGGGGAAACCCUGAUGCAGCAACGCCGCGUGUGGGAAGAAGGUUUUCGGAUUGUAAACCACUGUUCUUGGUGAAGAUAAUGACGGUAACCAAGGAGAAAGCUCCGGCUAACUACGUGCCAGCAGCCGCGGUAAUACGUAGGGAGCAAGCGUUGUCCGGAUUUACUGGGUGUAAAGGGUGCGUAGGCGGUCUUGCAAGUCAGACGUGAAAACCACAGUCUCAACCUGUGGACUGCGUUUGAAACUGUGGGGCUUGAGGGAAGUAGAGGUAGGCGGAAUGCCCGGUGUAGCGGUGAAAUGCGUAGAGAUCGGGAGGAACACCAGUGGCGAAGGCGGCCUACUGGGCUUUAACUGACGCUGAGGCACGAAAGCAUGGGUAGCAAACAGGAUUAGAUACCCUUGUAGUC